Molecule: ribosomal RNA, 460 nt
Filed under: uncultured bacterium
Lineage: Bacteria
Description: partial 16S ribosomal RNA
Rfam family: Bacterial small subunit ribosomal RNA
Source: RNAcentral
CCUACGGGCGGCAGCAGUGAGGAAUAUUGGUCAAUGGACGAGAGUCUGAACCAGCCAAGUAGCGUGAAGGAUGACUGCCCUAUGGGUUGUAAACUUCUUUUAUAUGGGAAUAAAAUGUUCCACGUGUGGGAUUUUGUAUGUACCAUAUGAAUAAGGAUCGGCUAACUCCGUGCCAGCAGCCGCGGUAAUACGGAGGAUCCGAGCGUUAUCCGGAUUUAUUGGGUUUAAAGGGAGCGUAGGUGGAUUGUUAAGUCAGUUGUGAAAGUUUGCGGCUCAACCGUAAAAUUGCAGUUGAAACUGGCAGUCUUGAGUACAGUAGAGGUGGGCGGAAUUCGUGGUGUAGCGGUGAAAUGCUUAGAUAUCACGAAGAACUCAGAUUGCGAAGGCAGUUCACUGGACUGCAACUGACACUGAGGCUCGAAAGUGUGGGUAUCAAACAGGAUUAGAUACCCCUGUAGUC